Molecule: ribosomal RNA, 253 nt
Filed under: uncultured bacterium
Lineage: Bacteria
Description: partial 16S ribosomal RNA
Rfam family: Bacterial small subunit ribosomal RNA
Source: RNAcentral
GACGUAGGGCGCGAGCGUUGUCCGGAUUUAUUGGGCGUAAAGAGCUCGUAGGCGGCUUGUCGCGUCGUCCGUGAAAACCCACAGCUCAACUGUGGGCUUGCGGUCGAUACGGGCAGGCUAGAGUUCGGUAGGGGAGAUCGGAAUUCCUGGUGUAGCGGUGAAAUGCGCAGAUAUCAGGAGGAACACCGGUGGCGAAGGCGGAUCUCUGGGCCAUUACUGACGCUGAGGAGCGAAAGCGUGGGGAGCGAACAGG